Long non-coding RNA from Panicum virgatum (switchgrass), 809 nucleotides. RefSeq lists it as uncharacterized. The transcript has 4 exons. The record is from RefSeq and is a predicted model, not a curated record. Lineage: Eukaryota; Viridiplantae; Streptophyta; Magnoliopsida; Poales; Poaceae.
UGUAGUCCGUGCGAGCCCCUGGACCGCCGGGCUGCGAGCGCCCCGGGGCCGCGUGCGCCCCUGGCUCCCGGCCGCACGGACUCUUCUUCCCUGAGCAGUAGGUCGGCUCGACGCGGCUCUCCUUCCCUGCGGUGGUUUCUCCCUCCCCGGCCGGUGCUUGAUCUCUCCCUCCCUGUACCUAGCGGGCGAGGCGGCGGCGGCGGCGGCCGCAUAGCAAGCUUCGUGUAGAGAGCCCGCGGGAAUAAAUCCCUCUGCCUCCAGAGCACGCGAGCCGAAUUCGCGGCUUCCCUUCGCAGAUCCGAGUCUUCCAGUGCAACCGAGAUCCAUGGACCCGUCCAAGGAUUUGGCCGGCAACGGCUACGGCAGCGUCGCUUGGGCGACCGGAUGGAGCGCUGGAAGAAGAACCAGGAGCGCCUGCAGCACGCCCGGAGCGUGGGCGGUGGUGAUUGGGAAAGUGACGAUGCAGAUCUGCUGCUAAGUUGAUCUGAGCAUUAUAAAGUUGUAUAGUUGUUACCCACUGAUUGUAUACCAAGAAGGCAUAAUUGUUAGGUUAAAGAGACAAGCAGGUGUUACAGCAACAGGGAGUAGCACUAGCAUGGAAGCUAAUAUGCAUUUGUAUUAACCAGCUCAAGUGGAUUUAGAUUGAUUCAAUUGCUACAUGUAUGUUGCUGGAAAUCUUAUGUUGUAUGCAUGUAUAUUUGUGCUGGAAUUGCUUAUUGUAAUUUCUGGCUGGAACUUUUAUUUUGAUAAGUGAGUUGUGAAAACCGGUUAUAUGGGUUGUGUAUAAAGUUAAAUCUGAUUAGUUGCUA